RNAcentral lists this long non-coding RNA (226 nucleotides) under Elaeis guineensis (African oil palm). RNAcentral's name for it is "long non-coding RNA (EGUI_LNC059013)". The record is from RNAcentral. Lineage: Eukaryota; Viridiplantae; Streptophyta; Magnoliopsida; Arecales; Arecaceae.
CUGCUGACUGAGAGGCUUGAUCAGUGGAUCCACUACAUUCUGCAUGGAGUCGAUUCUCUGUACCUCAACAAACUUCUUCUCGAGGUAUUUGCGUAUGAUGUGGAACCACUGCUCUAUAUACUUAAAUUUUUAAUGAGACCUAGGCUCUUUAGAGAGGGCUAUGGUGUCGUUGUUGUUGCAGUGCAAUGCAUGGCAUCUAAUGGCAUCAUACCCAUCUCCAUAACAA